Long non-coding RNA from Cucumis melo (muskmelon), 1746 nucleotides. RefSeq lists it as uncharacterized. The transcript is spliced from 8 exons. NCBI's taxonomy places the organism in Eukaryota, Viridiplantae, Streptophyta, Magnoliopsida, Cucurbitales, Cucurbitaceae. The record is from RefSeq and is a predicted model, not a curated record.
UUCAAACCCCAAAUCACCAUCUCUCCUGCCGCUUUCCAUUUCUCUUGCCUUUUCCAUUUCCCUUUCCCUUCCCAUUUCCUUCAUCUGUCGCUUUCCAUUUCUCUUGCCUUUUCCAUUUCCCUUUCCCUUCCCCUUUCCUUCAUCUGCCGCUUUCCAUUUCUCUUGCCUUUUCCAUUUCCCUUUCCUUUCCUCUUUCCUUCAUCUUCUUCAGCCGAAGGAAGACCCAGCGUCGACACUUCUCCUUGCCAUCGAACAUCCGUUCGCCGGUCGUCGUGUCUCCCAACUGCGCUCAAUCGCCCCCUCGACCCUUCAUUUGUCCAGAGCUAGCAGCAUUGUGAUGCUUUCUACUUACAUUGCUUUCUUGGUCUUUCAACUCUGGAUUCAUCGACAACUAUUUGAAGUUAAGGUUAUAGCUUGCAAAAAUAAAGGGUGAUGGUGGAUCCAUUGCAGCAGCUUUGGUUGAUGGGGACAAGGGAAGAGGGCACACCUUCUAAAACUCUGAAACCUCCCUCUUCAUCCUAGGUGAUAUAAUUAACCUUCCUUCCUUUUGCCUAUUUUCAUUCCCAAGUUCUUGAUAAAUUGAUAUUUGUUUACUUGUUACACAUAAGAAAUAGCUCCAACACCUUCAUAUCCUGAUUGAUCAAGCUCAGUGCAGGUCUAUCUAUAUGGUUUUUUGAUUUCAUACUAAUUGUUGUUGAAUUCAUAAAAACCUAGAAUAGUAUAAUUCAAACAUUUAGAAUAGUAACAAAGAUGUCGAUGAAUACUACUGGCUUAAAGUUUAGCCUCUUCUGUAACUGUAGGCUUAUUAUAGUUCUGGUGCAACUCCACCUCCAUUCUUUGCAUCUACUAUUGCUUCUCCAACUCCCCACCCUUACAUCUCGGGACGUCAGCAUCUUUUGAUGUUACCUUAUGGGACUCCAAUACCUUAUCCAACUAUAUAUCAUUGUGACUCUAAUCAAUGUUGAAUAUGAAGGGAAAUCCCUUGAUGGAAAAGAAAGGGCCUAAAAAAAUUCAAGGGCAUGUUAGGAAAUACUGCUUCAGCUGGCGGUAGGGAGAGUGGAAAGGUGGCUUCAAGUUCUGGAAAUGAUGGUGCUUCUCAAAGGUGUUUUAACUUGAGACUUGGUGCAGGGUCUAUUAAUGAGCCUGAUUCUUCGAGUAGGGAACCUAAUUCUAAAGCUUAAGCUCAUAACGACCUAGUUUAAGGUUAUGGCAAGGAGGAAAUACCGCUGGCCCUGGUGUGGUGUUUUUUCUUUUAAAGAUUUUUUUAAAAAAAUCUUUGUGAUAUGUGGUUUGCUUGCUUUGAACAACCUUUUUUUUUCUUAAAUAAGUUGGUUUCUGUUUUUUACAUUUUUGUUUUGUUUGUGAUAUGGGCACUUAGUUACGUAGGUUUCGGUUGCGAGGACUUGCAAUUGUGUAUUUGUAUAUUUUUUUGCUUCAGUAGAGGCAGCUUGACAUUAAGUUUAAGGAAUCUGCUGAUGACCAGAGACAGUGAUGAACAGAGAUAGAGAAUGAUUGAAGUUAUAUCGGGUUGAAAGCUGAGCGAUUGUGUAGAUAGUCAGGCGAUCGUUGAAGGUUGAAGAUUGAAGAUUUAGAAGACGUUUAGAAUUUUUCUUAUUUACGUCUUGUAUUAGGAUCUUUUUUCAUGUACUGUUGUAGAAUAUAUAAACAUAAUAUUAAGUUUUCAGUUUGUGUAUACAAAUGUAAAAGAUAAAUAUUAUAGUUUCUAAAAUAUAUUAAUUUUAUUGA